This 428-nucleotide ribosomal RNA is filed under the name uncultured marine bacterium. Its description in RNAcentral is "bacterial SSU rRNA". It matches the Rfam family "Bacterial small subunit ribosomal RNA", at positions 360 to 804 of the family's 1533-position model. The record is from RNAcentral.
AAUCUGGCGCAAUGGGUGAAAGCCUGUGGCAGCGACGCCGCGUGGGGGAUGAAUCCUUUAGGGUUGUAAUCCCCUUUCACGAGGGAAGAAACUGCCGGUACCUCGAGAAGAAGCCCCGGCCAAUUUCGUUCCAGCAGCCGCGGUAAUACGUAGGGGUCGAGCGUUGUCCGGAUUUAUUGGGCGUAAAGGGCUCGUAGGCGGCUGGGCAAGUCGGCCGUGAAAACCCAGGGCUCAACCCUGAGACGCCGGUCGAUACUGCCAUGGAUAGGGCCCGGUAGAGGGGAAUAGAAUUCCCGGUGUAGCGGUGAAAUGCGCAGAUAUCGGGAGGAACACCAGUAGCGAAGGCGGUUCCCUGGGCCGGCACCGACGCUGAGGAGCGAAAGCGUGGGGAGCAAACAGGAUUAGAUACCCUGGUAGUCCACGCCCUA